Molecule: small nuclear RNA, 49 nt
Filed under: Rissa tridactyla (black-legged kittiwake)
Lineage: Eukaryota; Metazoa; Chordata; Aves; Charadriiformes; Laridae
Also listed under: 1 other name
Description: U2 spliceosomal RNA
Rfam family: U2 spliceosomal RNA
About the family: U2 is a small nuclear RNA (snRNA) component of the spliceosome (involved in pre-mRNA splicing). Complementary binding between U2 snRNA (in an area lying towards the 5' end but 3' to hairpin I) and the branchpoint sequence (BPS) of the intron results the bulging out of an unpaired adenosine, on the BPS, which initiates a nucleophilic attack at the intronic 5' splice site, thus starting the first of two transesterification reactions that mediate splicing.
Source: Rfam by way of RNAcentral
AUCGCUUCUCGGCCUUUUGGCUAAGAUCAAGUGUAGUAUCUGUUCUUAU